AGAACGAACGCUGGCGGCGUGGAUAAGACAUGCAAGUCGAACGCUGACAUUUAGGUAGCAAUAUUUGAAUGUCGGAGUGGCGCAAGGGUGCGUAACACGUGGGUAAUUUGCCGUGAAGUUUGGGAUAACUUGCUGAAAGGCGAGCUAAUACCGGAUGUGAAUUGUUGAAGGCAUCUUCGAAAAUUCAAAGUUGGGGACCGCAAGGCCUGACGCUUUACGAUAAGCCCGCGGCCUAUCAGCUAGUUGGUGAGGUAACGGCUCACCAAGGCUAAGACGGGUA
Molecule: ribosomal RNA, 280 nt
Filed under: uncultured bacterium
Lineage: Bacteria
Description: partial small subunit ribosomal RNA
Rfam family: Bacterial small subunit ribosomal RNA
Source: RNAcentral